This 51-nucleotide ribosomal RNA is filed under the name Alternariaster helianthi. RNAcentral's name for it is "partial 28S ribosomal RNA". RNAcentral also lists the same sequence under 3 other names. The record is from RNAcentral. Lineage: Eukaryota; Fungi; Ascomycota; Dothideomycetes; Pleosporales; Leptosphaeriaceae.
UCUUGACCUCGGAUCAGGUAGGGAUACCCGCUGAACUUAAGCAUAUCAAUA